Molecule: non-coding RNA, 890 nt
Organism: Lepisosteus oculatus (spotted gar)
Lineage: Eukaryota; Metazoa; Chordata; Actinopteri; Semionotiformes; Lepisosteidae
Source: RefSeq, a predicted model, not a curated record
CUGAAACCGAAAGACAGGCUGGUCAGUACUGUCCGCUUCCCCAUCUCCUACUGUAUGUUGCCCGAGCUGAGAUAUACAGAAGCUAGAACCAGAGGACAAGAGCUGCACACCCUGGAUGGUCUGAGAGGUUUUUAGUGGACUGUGAAAAACAGCUGAUGCUCCCAAAACACAUGUACAAAACCCCAUCCCUUUGAGUGAGUCCUGGCUCCAUCGGGUGGAGACUUACAUGCCCAAAAAGGCACAUCUUAACUGAAGAAUCACUCACAUUAAUGCAGUGGAUCACAUGCUUGACCUUAAUUUUUUUCCAAAUGACAUGGAGUGUUUAAUUUUCUGAGAGCUCACACAGACAAAAUUCAUAUGAUGUAUAAUGUUGGUUUUAAAAAGUAGUCAUGAUUUCAUUAUGUACUGUACUACAUUGAACAAAAGAUUACAUCCGUACUACCAAUAUUUUACAUGUUAUCUUUCACUGUUCAACCUUGGGUAUAGGAUUUAGCAUUGUGUCUCCUGGACACAUUUUUCCAUAAAGUAUAACUACUCCUCACUAUCUUGUGGUGUGACAGACUUUGUUUUAUUUUAUUUUUUUAUCCAGAGAAAGUGCUAUCCAAAUUUGGAUCUAAUAUAUGUGUUACAAUACUCAAUACUGCCCCAAUCUUUAUAUAGUGCUGCCAUGCUAGACAUCUAUCUUUGAUAGUCUUUCCUAUCUAAUCAUCCGAAUCCAUUUGGAUCCAUUAUUUACUUACACUUAUCACUUAAACUUAUCAGCCCAUAUGCAACACCAACAUUAAAUAAAUGUGAGCCUGCACUAGUAUUUAGAGACUAAUUCUUAAUGGGUAUUGUAUUUGCUGUAUUUACCAUGCUAUUGCUUUGUCUAAACUCCUUUUUAAAUCUAC